RNAcentral lists this ribosomal RNA (433 nucleotides) under uncultured bacterium. RNAcentral's name for it is "partial 16S ribosomal RNA". It matches the Rfam family "Bacterial small subunit ribosomal RNA", at positions 29 to 507 of the family's 1533-position model. The record is from RNAcentral.
AGUGAACGCUGGCGGCACGCUUAACACAUGCAAGUCGCACGGGCAGCAAUGUCAGUGGCGGACGGGUGAGUAACACGUAGGAAUGUGUCUUGAGGUGGGGGACAACCCUGGGAAACUAGGGCUAAUACCGCAUAUGUCCUGAGGGACAAAGCAGCGAUGCGCCUUGAGAGUAGCCUGCGUCCGAUUAGCUAGAUGGUGGGGUAAAGGCCUACCAAGGCGACGAUCGGUAGCUGGUCUGAGAGGACGACCAGCCACACUGGGACUGAGACACGGCCCAGACUCCUACGGGAGGCAGCAGUGGGGAAUAUUGGACAAUGGGCGCAAGCCUGAUCCAGCAAUGCCGCGUGGGUGAAGAAGGUCUUCGGAUCGUAAAGCCCUUUCGGCGGGGACGAUGAUGACGGUACCCGCAGAAGAAGCCCCGGCUAACUUCGUG